UACGUAGGGGGCGAGCGUUGUCCGGAUUUAUUGGGCGUAAAGAGCUCGUAGGCGGUUCGGUAAGUCGGAUGUGAAAUCUCCACGCUCAACGUGGAGGGGCCAUUCGAUACUGCCGUGACUCGAGUCCGGUAGGGGAGUGUGGAAUUCCCGGUGUAGCGGUGAAAUGCGCAGAGAUCGGGAGGAACACCCGUGGCGAAGGCGGUUCUCUGGGCAUUACCUGACGCUGAGGAGCGAAAGUGUGGGGAGCGAACAGG
This 254-nucleotide ribosomal RNA is filed under the name uncultured bacterium. RNAcentral's name for it is "partial 16S ribosomal RNA". It matches the Rfam family "Bacterial small subunit ribosomal RNA", at positions 524 to 776 of the family's 1533-position model. The record is from RNAcentral.